This 95-nucleotide ribosomal RNA is filed under the name Aotus nancymaae (Ma's night monkey). Lineage: Eukaryota; Metazoa; Chordata; Mammalia; Primates; Aotidae. The record is from RNAcentral.
UUUGUACCCUGAGACUACUCUGAACAUGCCUGAUCUUGACUGAUCUCAGAAGCUAAGGAGGGUUGGGCCUGGUUAGUACUUGGAUGGAAGCAGAU